Molecule: ribosomal RNA, 494 nt
Filed under: uncultured bacterium
Lineage: Bacteria
Description: partial 16S ribosomal RNA
Rfam family: Bacterial small subunit ribosomal RNA
Source: RNAcentral
GACGAACGCUGGCGGCGUGCUUAACACAUGCAAGUCGAACGGAAAGGCCUGUCCUUCCUUGUGUUGGACGGGUACUCGAGUGGCGAACGGGUGAGUAACACGUGAGUGAUCUGCCCCCAACUUGGGUAUAAGCCUGGGAAACUGGGUCUAAUUCCCGAUAGGACUGCAGGGUGGUGCCUGUGGUGGAAAACGAUUUUCUAGUGGUUGGGGAUGAGCUCGCGGCCUAUCAGCUUGUUGGUGGGGUAAUGGCCUACCAAGGCGGCGACGGGUAGCCGGCCUGGGAGGGUGGACGGGCACAGUGGGACUGAGAUACGGCCCAGAAGCCUACGGGAGGAAGCAGUGGGGAAUAUUGCACGAUGGGCGGAAGCCUGAUGCAGCGACGCCGCGUGGGGGAUGACGGCCUUCGGGUUGUAAACUCCUUUCGACCGCGAGGAAGCCGCCUGGUUGGAAGGGUGGUGACGGUAGUGGUAGAAGAAGCACCGGCUAACUACGUG